AGGAGUAUAGUUCUAAUGGUAGAACAGCAGUCUCCAAAACUGCGUGUUGUGGGUUCAAAUCCUACUACUCCUGCCA
RNAcentral lists this transfer RNA (76 nucleotides) under bacterium. RNAcentral describes it as "tRNA-Trp". It matches the Rfam family "tRNA". From Rfam's summary of the family: Transfer RNA (tRNA) molecules are approximately 80 nucleotides in length. Their secondary structure includes four short double-helical elements and three loops (D, anti-codon, and T loops). The record is from RNAcentral.